This 258-nucleotide long non-coding RNA is filed under the name Lathyrus oleraceus (garden pea). Its description in RNAcentral is "Pisum sativum (pea) long non-coding RNA (PSAT_LNC014561)". The record is from RNAcentral. Lineage: Eukaryota; Viridiplantae; Streptophyta; Magnoliopsida; Fabales; Fabaceae.
GGGGUUAAUACAAACAAACGGGAAAACAAGGGGUUUGAGUUCAGAGCCAAUGUCAUUAUUCUUUUCAUUGUGUUUGUUCGAAUCUUAUUUCCAAUUCUUUUCUUUUUCAGUUUUUUUCACUCAGUUCCUUCUCCUUUUUUUUCUCUUUAUACCCAACUGAGUGUUUCUCAUUCGGUGAGUGCUUUUCUCGUUCCAUCAAAUUUCUUUUUUUUCUUUUUUUUUCUUUUUUUUUCAAUGGUCGUUUUUUCUUGAUCUUUU